GGGCCCGCACAAGCGGUGGAGCAUGUGGUUUAAUUCGAUGCAACGCGAAGAACCUUACCUACCCUUGACAUACAGUGAAUUUUGCAGAGAUGCGAAAGUGCCUUCGGGAAUACUGAUACAGGUGCUGCAUGGCUGUCGUCAGCUCGUGUCGUGAGAUGUUGGGUUAAGUCCCGUAACGAGCGCAACCCUUAUUGCUAGUUGCCAGCGCGUAAAGGCGGGGACUCUAGUGAGACUGCCGGUGACAAACCGGAGGAAGGCGGGGACGACGUCAAGUCAUCAUGGCCCUUACGGGUAGGGCUACACACGUGCUACAAUGGCCGGUACAGAGGGUGGCGAAGGGGAGACCUUAAAGCUCGUCGUAGUCCGGAUUGGAGUCUGCAACUCGACUCCAUGAAGUCGGAAUCGCUAGUAAUCG
RNAcentral lists this ribosomal RNA (415 nucleotides) under uncultured bacterium. Its description in RNAcentral is "bacterial SSU rRNA". It matches the Rfam family "Bacterial small subunit ribosomal RNA", at positions 917 to 1344 of the family's 1533-position model. The record is from RNAcentral.